GGCGGGGGCAGCGCCGGCUGCGGAGGGAAACGCUUCGCUCUCCGCGCUCCGGGACCGGCGCCUGCUGCGGUGCGGAUGCGUAUGGACGAAUCGUCGUGAAAACAGCUCCCGACGUUUUCCCCUUAAAAAAAAAAAAAAAAAAAACAAAACCAAAAAAAAAACACCAAACCCAAACAAACCGCCCACUUGGAUAAUUAAAACGGUUUUUGGCAGUAUCCAGUGUUGCUAAGGCUGAUUGAAUUCCUACUACCAGUCCUACUCCCAAAGGCAGCUUUUCUAAGCUGAUUCCUGACACAGGAGAUGAAUCCUGCUGCAGAUGAGGAGCACAGGGACCUGUCGCCUUCACUCCACUUCCAGCAAACUCUCCUGAGAGCAAAUCUCCCUCAAAGCUGUUCUGGUGAUCACACAGCAGAAAAAUAAUUCCCCAACUGUUGCACCAGGGUAUAGUCUGAAAAUUAUGUUUUCUUACCUUAUAGAUUGAAAUAGAGAUCUUUUCCAGGCACACAUUUGAAAAUAUUGUUUUGCUACUGAACUUCCUUCUUGCAAAAGAGUUUCAGAGGAAGGUCUGUCAGUGAAAGAGGUUUGGGACUUGCAGCUGCACACACAAGUGUUUUCAGAGGGCUGUCAGAGAACACAUGGCCUCAAAGCAUAAGGACAAGUGGGAAGUGGGAGAAACAAGGCUGCAUUUUAUGACUGUUCAAGCAAACUAAAACUGCCUCUAAAUCUCCUUCCUCCAGCACUGCCUUGUGAUUCCGACAGGUUUCAAGCCCUUACCCGAAAAGGCAGUUUUUUUAGAACACAAGCAAAGCCAUUCUGCAUUUUCAGCUCCCUGUUCCAAUUUACUUGAUAUCAAUGAAAACAAGUCACUCCUGCCUAGUAAGAAAGUAGUUGUACAAAUCAGAUAAAAAAUAGGUAAUUAGUCACUUCUUUGAUUCACUACCAAUCAAAAAAAUAAAGGAAAAAAAAAAACCUUCA
RNAcentral lists this long non-coding RNA (975 nucleotides) under Lonchura striata (white-rumped munia). RNAcentral describes it as "domestica (Bengalese finch) lncRNA (ENSLSDG00000017799.1)". Lineage: Eukaryota; Metazoa; Chordata; Aves; Passeriformes; Estrildidae. The record is from RNAcentral.